RNAcentral lists this ribosomal RNA (510 nucleotides) under uncultured bacterium. RNAcentral's name for it is "bacterial SSU rRNA". It matches the Rfam family "Bacterial small subunit ribosomal RNA", at positions 28 to 526 of the family's 1533-position model. The record is from RNAcentral.
GAUGAACGCUAGCGACAGGCUUAACACAUGCAAGUCGAGGGGCAGCAAGAAGUGUAGCAAUACAAUUUGUUGGCGACCGGCGCACGGGUGAGUAACGCGUAUGCAACCUACCUAUCAGAGGGGGAUAGCCCGGUGAAAGCCGGAUUAAUACCGCAUAAAACAGGGGUCACGCAUGGGAAUAUUUGUUAAAGAUUAAUUGCUGAUAGAUGGGCAUGCGUUCCAUUAGAUUGUAGGCGGGGUAACGGCCCACCUAGUCAUCGAUGGAUAGGGGUUCUGAGAGGAAGGUCCCCCACACUGGAACUGAGACACGGUCCAGACUCCUACGGGAGGCAGCAGUGAGGAAUAUUGGUCAAUGGGCGCAAGCCUGAACCAGCCAAGUAGCGUGAAGGAUGACUGCCCUAUGGGUUGUAAACUUCUUUUAUAGGGGAAUAAUUCCAUCCACGUGUGGAUGUUUGGAUGUACCCUGUGAAUAAGCAUCGGCUAACUCCGUGCCAGCAGCCGCCGUAACAC